RNAcentral lists this ribosomal RNA (138 nucleotides) under uncultured eukaryote. Its description in RNAcentral is "partial 18S ribosomal RNA". It matches the Rfam family "Eukaryotic small subunit ribosomal RNA", at positions 1299 to 1458 of the family's 1831-position model. The record is from RNAcentral.
UGGUGGAGUGAUUUGUCUGGUUAAUUCCGAUAACGAACGAGACCUUAACCUGCUAAAUAGUUACAUUAACGAAUGUUGGUGGUUAACUUCUUAGAGGGACUAAAUGUAUUUAACAUUUGGAAGUUUGAGGCAAUAACA